GCCGGACGAAAAGACGGACGCCAAAAAUCUGAAGCUUAGGAGCCUGGCUUAAAACCGAUCGGAUAAAUAAGGUAAUUACAUGGGAGAAUGUUCCUUCCGAGACGCCGCGGUGGGGAAUCGGAACCAGCGGCAAAGGAGGGGAAACGGCGAAGAUGAUCCAGGAGGGGCAAUGCUCUUAUAAAACUACACAAAACUGGCCUGACCGUGACAUUGCUAAAGUUCACCCGCAUUCAAAUCACGAUGGCGCUGAAAACACCCGGGAGCGCGUCCUUAGUUUUAGUUUUAGUUAGUUUUACGACAUUGUUUUCCGCCUUUUCCGCGUACACCGUGCCGACCGCACAACCCCAAUCUCAAAGGGGGGCUGUCAAAUACUACAAUCAACCCUCGUACCAACCCGCCGUGCGGAAACCCACCGUCGCUCAAGCUCAUGUCCCUUACACGCACCAAACCCUGAAGCAUGGGGCCGUCCCUGUGGUCCCCGUUGUCCCUGCGAGUCCCGCCAAGGCAACGCCGAAGCCCGCCGUCGCGAACAAGUACUACCAACCGUACCAAUACCCGGUGCCGGUAGCCUCUCAGUAUCAAUACCCGGUGCCGCUUAAGACCGUUCAACCGAGUGCAAAGCCCGCAAGUCCCAAACAGAAUGUGAAGCAAAGUUCGGCCAAGAAGAAGGUUACCCCGGUGCCAGCGAAUUAUUAUUACCCGAGUGCCACGCAAAAUAAGUAUUACGCUCCCACCAACACGUACGUCGCCAAACCAGCAGUUACACAGUUUGGCACAAAGAAGUACGUGGUAUCAAACGGAUACGGUGGCACUAGGCAACUAAGUGAAGCAGAGCUCCGUCAGAUUUUGCAACAGUACCAAGUUGCCAUCUUUGGUAACUACCCGUCAAACGGUACCGGCGCACCUCAAGUCAUAUUCAUUCCCUCCGGCUAUCCGCAAGGUUACCCUCAGCAUCAACCUGGCUACCCUCAGCCUCAACCCGGCUACCCUCAACCAGGAAGCGUUCAAUCACAAUACCCUCCUCCGAGCUACCCACCUUCUGGUUACCCGCAACCCUCUUAUCCACCUCCGUCAUACCCGCAGCCUGGAUACCCACAACCUGGAUACCCACAACCUGGAUACCCGCAGCCUGUAUUUCCAGAACAGCCAGAACAACCAGCUCAACCUGUUCAACCAGUACAACCAACGCCAUCACCGUUCCCAGAACAGCCACCGACAUCGCCUCCAACUGUGAAUCCAGGAUCUUGGGAGACUCAGCAACCAGGCGAGCUUCCCCCGGAUCAGGUGUUCGUUGUACCAGGUGAGCAGACAGGUGGGCCAGAUUCUGGCUCUCCUGCACCGGAAGAAAAUAUCCCCCCAUCGAGACAUCUGGACCAAGUGGCCCCGAAACUGGACCAAGUGGCCCCGCAACUGGACCAAGUGGCGGAGACUCAUCAUCCGGAUCGCAGGAGCCAGAUAACUCAGGAGUAUACCAACCACCAGUUGGCCCUGUAGACGUUCUUGUUCCUGCUUCAACCGAAGGACCAUCGCCGCCAUAUCAGCCACCCAGCGAGCCGAGUGAACCCGGCGUGGUUUACCCUGGAGGACAACCAAAUCCCUCAACAACUGACGUAUCAUAUCCUUCAUCUCCCGAAGAACAGCCUCAGCCACCCUACGGUCCCACCGACGGUGUAUACACUCAGCCGCCUCCACCCGAGUCUGUGUACACUGAAGCACCUCAACCUGCGCAAGUAAUUCCCGGUGAAGGUCAGCCGGAUGGACAGGUUUACCCGAGCCCCGGAUAUCCGGGAGAGGCACCAUCUCCAGGAAAUGAAGUUUAUCCAGGUGGGUCUCAAACACCGACUGGGUACCCCUCACCUGGAGAGCCAGCUCCUCAGCCCGGAACACCGGUUGAGUACCCUCCACCUGGACAGCCAGGCGCACCCGAACAAUCUACAUAUUCCCCAACUAUCGAUCAACUUGUGCCCGAGACAAGUCCUGAAUCGCCUGGACCUUCCGAGGGAGGAGCUGGAGCACAACCUCAACCAGUUGAUCCUUAUCCAGUUCAGCCAGACAACCAGUACCCAGGAUCUUCUGAGCAAGGUGGACAAGGACAACCAGAACCUGCUGUAGUUCCACAGCCUGAUAAUUCUAAUAAUGAAG
This 2142-nucleotide long non-coding RNA is filed under the name Bemisia tabaci. RNAcentral's name for it is "lncRNA ENSSSA2NGG001497". The record is from RNAcentral. Lineage: Eukaryota; Metazoa; Arthropoda; Insecta; Hemiptera; Aleyrodidae.